RNAcentral lists this ribosomal RNA (429 nucleotides) under Gemmatimonadota bacterium. Its description in RNAcentral is "Gemmatimonadetes bacterium partial 16S ribosomal RNA". It matches the Rfam family "Bacterial small subunit ribosomal RNA", at positions 355 to 776 of the family's 1533-position model. Lineage: Bacteria; Pseudomonadati; Gemmatimonadota. The record is from RNAcentral.
UAGGGAAUCUUCGGCAAUGGACGAAAGUCUGACCGAGCAACGCCGCGCGAGUGAAGAAGGAUUUCGGAUCGUAAAACUCUGUUGUUAGAGAAGAACAAGGACGUUAGUAACUGAACGUCCCCUGACGGUAUCUAACCAGAAAGCCACGGCUAACUACGUGCCAGCAGCCGCGGUAAUACGUAGGUGGCAAGCGUUGUCCGGAUUUAUUGGGCGUAAAGCGAGCGCAGGCGGUUUCUUAAGUCUGAUGUGAAAGCCCCCGGCUCAACCGGGGAGGGUCAUUGGAAAAUGGGAGACUUGAGUGCAGAGGAGGAGAGUGGAAUUCCAUGUGUAGCGGUGAAAUGCGUAGAUAUAUGGAGGAACACCAGUGGCGAAGGCGGCUCUCUGGUCUGUAACUGACGCUGAGGCUCGAAAGCGUGGGGAGCAAACAGG